GUGGUCAUGUGGCCGGCGUGACUAAACAUCAAAGGCGCAUGGAACAAAGGUCUCCAUCUGCCUUAUCAGUCAUUUGAUAAAAAUCCAGUCAUGGAGCAAUACUAUCAGUGAUGAGAUUUCAGAAAUGGUACCUGGGAGAGGGAAAUGUUAUUCUUGUUAUUAAACAAAUUGGAAAAGCAAUACACGGAUUAACCCUUGACUAAAUUGCUUUAGAUAAUUUUUUCAAGGAAGGAGUAUGUUCUACUUCAUGUAUAAGAAGCAACAAAAAUGCUCCUUGAAUCUAGUUAGGAGAUGUGCCUAAUAAAGGACUUUAUUUGAGCC
Long non-coding RNA from Pantherophis guttatus, 321 nucleotides. RefSeq lists it as uncharacterized. The record is from RefSeq and is a predicted model, not a curated record. NCBI's taxonomy places the organism in Eukaryota, Metazoa, Chordata, Lepidosauria, Squamata, Colubridae.